Molecule: ribosomal RNA, 254 nt
Filed under: uncultured bacterium
Lineage: Bacteria
Description: partial 16S ribosomal RNA
Rfam family: Bacterial small subunit ribosomal RNA
Source: RNAcentral
UACGAAGGGGGCUAGCGUUGUUCGGAAUCACUGGGCGUAAAGCGCACGCAGGCGGAUCGUUAAGUCAGGGGUGAAAUCCCGAGGCUCAACCUCGGAACUGCCUUUGAUACUGGCGAUCUUUGAGUCCGGGAGAGGUGAGUGGAACUCCGAGUGUAGAGGUGAAAUGUGUUGAUAUUGGAAGGAACACCGGAGGCGAAAGCGGUGUACUGGGGCUGGUCUGACGCUGAGGCACGAAAGCCAGGGGAGCGAACGGG